AAAUACUCUAAACUACAAGGUGGCCACGGUAUCUUCAGAGGGUCAUGGAGCUCUGCAAAGCUUGUCUUAAAACUGAUUAAGUUCUUGGUGAAGGUUCCGAAGAUGAAGGUGGAGAAAACGAAAAGAGACAGCUGAGAGAGGGGUCAGAACCAAGCAAGGGGACGAAUGAGAGUGAACCUGAGACACUCAAGCUUUAAGGAGAGGAACUGUCUCCAUGAAGGCCCCACAUUUGAGAACACUGGGUAACAGCCUAAGUGGUCUCCUACGGAUUCCUUCUUUUGAGCAGCUUGUUCCUAGCCUGGCACUCAAUGAACUUGCCACCAACAGAGAAGCAGGCCCUGAAUCAUGGUUACCACUACUUUUGCAAAGAGAGCCUGAGGAACUGAAAGGCUGAUCCUCAGUAGCUUAUGGGCACAUGUACCACAGACCCAAGCCUCAAUAGCCACUUACACUGGCCCUGCUUGAAAUUCUACCUCCAGGCAACAAUGCAGAAGGCAGCAGAACUCCUGAAAAGGACCACGGGGAUAAGGCCCAAAGAAAGGAGGAGAAGAGCUCUCAGAAUUUCCAAUUAGCACAUUUAAGCAGUGAAAACGUAUCAGACCUGACCAGAAUACAAUACAUUGUAUGAAUAGGACGACAAUUCCAAUUAGUGGAAGAUACAAAACCUCAGCUCUCAAUGUGAAAACCCACCAGAAA
Long non-coding RNA from Gorilla gorilla gorilla (western lowland gorilla), 696 nucleotides. RefSeq lists it as uncharacterized. The transcript is spliced from 4 exons. The record is from RefSeq and is a predicted model, not a curated record. Lineage: Eukaryota; Metazoa; Chordata; Mammalia; Primates; Hominidae.